Molecule: unclassified non-coding RNA, 248 nt
Filed under: Hevea brasiliensis (rubber tree)
Lineage: Eukaryota; Viridiplantae; Streptophyta; Magnoliopsida; Malpighiales; Euphorbiaceae
Source: RNAcentral
AUGACCAGAUAAAAUUCAAGAAAAUCAACUUGUAAAAAUUUUGAAAGCGGAAAAGAUUUAGAGUACAAGAGAAUCACGACCUUUGAAUCAAGUUGACAGAAACUGAUUCAGCGUCUGAACAUUUGUGGACAUGUGUCCUAACCUUUUCAUAAGGUUGAGAAAUAAAUAAAUAAAUUAUCAGAAGUUAUGCUAUACUUGAUUCGAGAUAAACAUAAAACAGCUAAUCUAAUUCUGAUGCAGUCACUUCA